This 464-nucleotide ribosomal RNA is filed under the name Vreelandella stevensii. RNAcentral's name for it is "partial 16S ribosomal RNA". It matches the Rfam family "Bacterial small subunit ribosomal RNA", at positions 338 to 794 of the family's 1533-position model. The record is from RNAcentral. Lineage: Bacteria; Pseudomonadati; Pseudomonadota; Gammaproteobacteria; Oceanospirillales; Halomonadaceae.
CCUACGGGUGGCAGCAGUGGGGAAUAUUGGACAAUGGGCGAAAGCCUGAUCCAGCCAUGCCGCGUGUGUGAAGAAGGCCUUCGGGUUGUAAAGCACUUUCAGUGGGGAAGAAAGCCUUGGGGCUAAUACCCUCGAGGAAGGACAUCACCCACAGAAGAAGCACCGGCUAACUCCGUGCCAGCAGCCGCGGUAAUACGGAGGGUGCGAGCGUUAAUCGGAAUUACUGGGCGUAAAGCGCGCGUAGGCGGUCUGAUAAGCCGGUUGUGAAAGCCCCGGGCUCAACCUGGGAACGGCAUCCGGAACUGUCAGGCUAGAGUGCAGGAGAGGAAGGUAGAAUUCCCGGUGUAGCGGUGAAAUGCGUAGAGAUCGGGAGGAAUACCAGUGGCGAAGGUGGCCUUCUGGACUGACACUGACGCUGAGGUGCGAAAGCGUGGGUAGCAAACAGGAUUAGAUACCCCGGUAGU